Molecule: long non-coding RNA, 542 nt
Organism: Canis lupus familiaris (dog)
Lineage: Eukaryota; Metazoa; Chordata; Mammalia; Carnivora; Canidae
Exons: 4
Source: RefSeq, a predicted model, not a curated record
AGUUAGAACAUAAUUAUUCUGCAGGGUCUCACAUCAUUACUUUGACUAGAAUUGACUAGGACCCUAACUGAAGGUCACUAGUUUUUUCAUACCAGUCUCAUAUACACAUCUCUGUCCAACAUCUCCCUCCUCUCAUCCCACUGUGUCAGCGAUGGAUAAUCAACAUGAAGAGGCAAAACACAAACACGCCACUAAAAUGUGAAGUAACCAGAUCUGAGGAUUGCUUUGUAUUAAUCAACCUAUGAAUAGAUAUCACACAUCAAUAUACCACAUUUUAAAGAUUUUUAAAACAAUUUUGUGCCACUGUACUUCGUAAUUAUUGUCUAACUCAUCACAGAAUUGAAGAACAGAAUAUGUUGCUAGAGAUACGAGCGGAUGGCCCAAUAUGUACAGAGCUAUAUGAUUCACUCAAAACGUUGCCAGCUUUCAUAUUAAUGCUUCAAGCCAAAGAAACCUGAACUGAAGAUAUAUUUACGGCAAGAACUUAAUGGACAUUGAAUUGCAUCCAAGCAAAAAAAAAAAAAAAAAAGAAUUGUAUCCAA